Molecule: ribosomal RNA, 293 nt
Filed under: uncultured bacterium
Lineage: Bacteria
Description: partial 16S ribosomal RNA
Rfam family: Bacterial small subunit ribosomal RNA
Source: RNAcentral
GUGCCAGCAGCCGCGGUAAUACGUAGGGUCCAAGCGUUAUCCGGAAUCACUGGGCGUAAAGCGUGUGUAGGCGGCGCGUUAAGUGCAACGCGAAAUCCUGUGGCUCAACCAUAUGGACUGUGUUGCAUACUGGCGUGCUUGAGGAUGGCAGAGGCAAGUGGAAUUGGUAGUGUAGCAGUGAAAUGCGUAGAUAUUACCAGGAACACCAAUGGCGAAGGCAGCUUGCUGGGCCAUAUCUGACGCUGAGACACGAAAGCGUGGGGAGCGAACAGGAUUAGAUACCCUGGUAGUCC